RNAcentral lists this ribosomal RNA (432 nucleotides) under Cryptosporidium parvum. RNAcentral describes it as "SSU rRNA". It matches the Rfam family "Eukaryotic small subunit ribosomal RNA", at positions 243 to 683 of the family's 1831-position model. The record is from RNAcentral. Lineage: Eukaryota; Apicomplexa; Conoidasida; Eucoccidiorida; Cryptosporidiidae.
CUGGUGACCCAUAACAACUUUACCGAUCAUAUUAAAUGCGAUAUUAGCUUUAAAUUUCUGACCUAUCAGCUGUAAACCGUGGGCUAUUGGCCGACCGUGGCGAUGACCGGCAACGGCGAACUGGGCUUUGAUAGCGGCGAAGGCGCGUAAGAAACCGCGACCACCAGCAAAGAAGGCAGCCGUCGUGCGAACUAUCCGAUUCUGAUUCAGGGCGGCAGCGAUAAAAAAUAACAGUAUCGUACCUUUUGGUUUUGCAACUGGAACGAACUGAGCAUUAACCCGUUUACCAGCAUUAACUGGCGUGCGAGCCUGGUGCCGGCGGCGGCGGUGAUUCCGGCGCCGAUUGCGUAUAUUAAAGUGGUGGCGGUGAAAAAACUGGUGGUGGGCUUUCUGCUGAUUAUUUAUAUUAAAUAUUUUGAUGAAUAUCUGUAU